Molecule: long non-coding RNA, 490 nt
Organism: Diabrotica virgifera virgifera (western corn rootworm)
Lineage: Eukaryota; Metazoa; Arthropoda; Insecta; Coleoptera; Chrysomelidae
Exons: 2
Source: RefSeq, a predicted model, not a curated record
UUAAAAAAAUCAAAAGAUUUGAAAAUAAUUCAAGAUAUUUUCGCAGAUUUUGUAAAUAGGAACGAAUUUUUUCAUAAAAGUGAGAAUUUUUAAGGUAAGUUGAGGGAAAAAGCUUACUCGAUGGCUGGCAACACGGGAAAAAAAUCUGCUACGCGUAUGCGGUGACAGUUUGUUGUUGUGGUUAUCCAGUUUUUUACAACUUAAAUUUUCCGUACAAUUCUCCGAGGCUAUUACCUUAAUUAUUAUUACUAAGCUGAAGCCUAUUUUCUUCAUUGUUAAUAGACCAAACUGCAUGCUUACUGCAUUACAGAUUAGUACCUACUCAUUUUGCUCUGGCCAACUCUGGUGGCAUUGAGGUAGAGAGCUGAUAUAGACAAAACCAAGCAUCGGAAUCUGAAGCUAGGGUGUUUAAUGUAAGUUCCAAUGAAUAAUUUUAUACAAUAGAUUGUAUUUUAGUCGAGUGAUUAAUAAAUAGUUAUAUAAAAUGGUA